GUGUAACACGACAAGAGCUUUUUUGUAUUUAUUUUUCUCUUAUCAGUUUCAAAACAGUGAGAUAGAGGUUUCUGUGGGAACAACUGUUUAGUGUGCUUGCUGACAAGCCUGGAAGUCAAACCAUCUGAGCACAGCGCCAGAAAGCAUUCAUCAGGAGAUCCCAGUGAUGCCACAGCUAUUAGAAACCAUCAGAAACCAGGAGCCAAAAGAGCAAGUUCAGCCUGUGGGUGGGAUGGUAUUACUCUCUUCCUUGUCAAUCACAGUGACCGUAGCCAAUCAUGGUGGCCUGUGAGCUUGUGUGUGAGGAAGAGGUCACAUAUUGAGCACUUAUCUGAGUGUGUUACAGUACAUCACCAAUUACACCUUUGCAUUGCAUUUGCUUCAGUCUGCUGCCAUCAGCUUCAUUCAUCAGGCUGUCAGGAAGCUGAACUCGCUCCCGAACUUGCCCCCCCUCCCUUUUCUGCCCCAGGCACCACAGAUCUAUGAACCCACCCCACCCCUCCAAAUCCCAAAUCCCCAAGUCCUUCCACCCUCCCACUGACAUGCACCAGUCACUUUGUGCAGCAUUGGUCUGCUCAUUUGCGUUUCAGCCAUGUGCCUUGCGCUGCUUUAUUUAAUUUCUCUGUUAGUAUUAUUUGUAUACACCUUGGGACUAAGAGUAAUGCGAUUUCAAUUCUCUGUAUGUAUAUACUGU
Molecule: long non-coding RNA, 694 nt
Organism: Tachysurus fulvidraco (yellow catfish)
Lineage: Eukaryota; Metazoa; Chordata; Actinopteri; Siluriformes; Bagridae
Exons: 3
Source: RefSeq, a predicted model, not a curated record